This 574-nucleotide ribosomal RNA is filed under the name Enterococcus gallinarum. RNAcentral describes it as "bacterial SSU rRNA". It matches the Rfam family "Bacterial small subunit ribosomal RNA", at positions 51 to 598 of the family's 1533-position model. Lineage: Bacteria; Bacillati; Bacillota; Bacilli; Lactobacillales; Enterococcaceae. The record is from RNAcentral.
AUACAUGCAGUCGAACGCUUUUUCUUUCACCGGAGCUUGCUCCACCGAAAGAAAAAGAGUGGCGAACGGGUGAGUAACACGUGGGUAACCUGCCCAUCAGAAGGGGAUAACACUUGGAAACAGGUGCUAAUACCGUAUAACACUAUUUUCCGCAUGGAAGAAAGUUGAAAGGCGCUUUUGCGUUCACUGAUGGAUGGACCCGCGGUGCAUUAGCUAGUUGGUGAGGUAACGGCUCACCAAGGCAACGAUGCAUAGCCGACCUGAGAGGGUGAUCGGCCACACUGGGACUGAGACACGGCCCAGACUCCUACGGGAGGNAGCAGUAGGGAAUCUUCGGCAAUGGACGAAAGUCUGACCGAGCAACGCCGCGUGAGUGAAGAAGGUUUUCGGAUCGUAAAACUCUGUUGUUAGAGAAGAACAAGGAUGAGAGUANAACGUUCAUCCCUUGACGGUAUCUAACCAGAAAGCCACGGCUAACUACGUGCCAGCAGCCGCGGUAAUACGUAGGUGGCAAGCGUUGUCCGGAUUUAUUGGGCGUAAAGCGAGCGCAGGGGUUUCUUAAGUCUGAUGUGAA